UGGUACUCGCUGAAGGACUUGAACCUUCUUCACCAACUUGUAAGGAUGGGGCUUUACCAUAUAAACUAAGCGAGC
This 75-nucleotide transfer RNA is filed under the name Citrobacter phage Moogle. RNAcentral describes it as "tRNA-Val". The record is from RNAcentral. Lineage: Duplodnaviria; Heunggongvirae; Uroviricota; Caudoviricetes; Andersonviridae.